This 90-nucleotide transfer RNA is filed under the name Oscillochloris sp. RNAcentral describes it as "tRNA-Ser". It matches the Rfam family "tRNA". From Rfam's summary of the family: Transfer RNA (tRNA) molecules are approximately 80 nucleotides in length. Their secondary structure includes four short double-helical elements and three loops (D, anti-codon, and T loops). Lineage: Bacteria; Bacillati; Chloroflexota; Chloroflexia; Chloroflexales; Oscillochloridaceae. The record is from RNAcentral.
GGAGCAUUGGCCGAGUAGGAAGGCGCCGGUUUGCUAAACCGUGGCCGUGUGGCAACGCACGCGCAGGUGCGAUCCCUGCAUGCUCCUCCA